RNAcentral lists this unclassified non-coding RNA (223 nucleotides) under Hevea brasiliensis (rubber tree). The record is from RNAcentral. Lineage: Eukaryota; Viridiplantae; Streptophyta; Magnoliopsida; Malpighiales; Euphorbiaceae.
UCGCCUCAAUGAUCAACUUCCCAUGUGCAUCCUCACCCACCUGCCCCACAAAGUACGUUGGGUAUGAGAGUUUACUACCACAAGCUGCCUGAUUGGCUCCCUUCCCACCUGCAAGUGNCUUGGCUGAGACGGUCUCUCCUUCUCUGGGUAGUCUCUCAAUUUCAACAUAGAUGUCAGCAUUGGCCGAGCCAACAACAACAAGCGGCGGGGCGUUGGCUUCCGG